This 451-nucleotide ribosomal RNA is filed under the name uncultured bacterium. RNAcentral's name for it is "bacterial SSU rRNA". It matches the Rfam family "Bacterial small subunit ribosomal RNA", at positions 329 to 797 of the family's 1533-position model. The record is from RNAcentral.
UUCCAGACUCCUACGGGAGGCAGCAGUGGGGAAUAUUGGGCAAUGGGCGCAAGCCUGACCCAGCAACGCCGCGUGAAGGAAGAAGGCUUUCGGGUUGUAAACUUCUUUUCUCAGGGACGAAGAAAGUGACGGUACCUGAGGAAUAAGCCACGGCUAACUACGUGCCAGCAGCCGCGGUAAUACGUAGGUGGCAAGCGUUAUCCGGAUUUAUUGGGUGUAGAGGGCGUGUAGGCGGGAGCGCAAGUCAGAUGUGAAAACUCAGGGCUCAACCCUGAGCCUGCAUUUGAAACUGUUUUUCUUGAGUACUGGAGAGGCAGACGGAAUUCCUAGUGUAGCGGUGAAAUGCGUAGAUAUUAGGAGGAACACCAGUGGCGAAGGCGGUCUGCUGGACAGCAACUGACGCUGAGGCGCGAAAGCGUGGGGAGCAAACAGGAUUAGAUACCCGCGUACA